RNAcentral lists this ribosomal RNA (460 nucleotides) under uncultured bacterium. RNAcentral describes it as "partial 16S ribosomal RNA". It matches the Rfam family "Bacterial small subunit ribosomal RNA", at positions 338 to 795 of the family's 1533-position model. The record is from RNAcentral.
CCUACGGGAGGCAGCAGUGAGGAAUAUUGGUCAAUGGACGAGAGUCUGAACCAGCCAAGUAGCGUGAAGGAUGACUGCCCUAUGGGUUGUAAACUUCUUUUAUAUGGGAAUAAAAUGUUCCACGUGUGGGAUUUUGUAUGUACCAUAUGAAUAAGGAUCGGCUAACUCCGUGCCAGCAGCCGCGGUAAUACGGAGGAUCCGAGCGUUAUCCGGAUUUAUUGGGUUUAAAGGUAGCGUAGGUGGAUUGUUAAGUCAGUUGUGAAAGUUUGCGGCUCAAACGUAAAAUUGCAGUUGAAACUGGCAGUCUUGAGUACAGUAGAGGUGGGCGGAAUGCGUGGUGUAGCGGUGAAAUGCUUAGAUAUCACGAAGAACUCCGAUUGCGAAGGCAGUUCACUGGACUGCAACUGACACUGAGGCUCGAAAGUGUGGGUAUCAAACAGGAUUAGAUACCCUAGUAGUC